RNAcentral lists this ribosomal RNA (439 nucleotides) under uncultured bacterium. RNAcentral describes it as "partial 16S ribosomal RNA". It matches the Rfam family "Bacterial small subunit ribosomal RNA", at positions 339 to 795 of the family's 1533-position model. The record is from RNAcentral.
CUACGGGCCGCACCAGUGAGGAAUAUUGUACAAUGGGGGGAACCCUGAUGCAGCAACGCCGCGUGGAGGAUGACGCAUUUCGGUGUGUAAACUCCUUUUAUAUGUCAAGAAAAUGACGGUUGCAUAUGAAUAAGCACCGGCUAACUCCGUGCCAGCAGCCGCGGUAAUACGGAGGGUGCAAGCGUUACUCGGAAUCACUGGGCGUAAAGGACGCGUAGGCGGGUUGGAAAGUCAGGUGUGAAAUCCUACAGCUUAACUGUAGAACUGCACUUGAAACUUCUAAUCUAGAGUAUGGGAGGGGGAGAUGGAAUUAGUGGUGUAGGGGUAAAAUCCGUAGAUAUCACUAGGAAUACCUAAAGCGAAGGCGAUCUCCUGGAACAUUACUGACGCUAAGGCGUGAAAGCGUGGGGAGCAAACAGGAUUAGAUACCCGCGUAGUC